CGUACACUCCUACGGGAGGCAGCAGUAGGGAAUCUUCCACAAUGGGUGCAAACCUGAUGGAGCAAUGCCGCGUGAGUGAAGAAGGUCUUCGGAUCGUAAAGCUCUGUUGUUAGAGAAGAACACGUGCUAGGUAACUACUAGCGCCUUGACGGUAUCUAACCAGAAAGUCACGGCUAACUACGUGCCAGCAGCCGCGGUAAUACGUAGGUGACAAGCGUUGUCCGGAUUUAUUGGGCGUAAAGGGAGCGCAGGCGGUCUGUUUAGUCUAAUGUGAAAGCCCACGGCUUAACCGUGGAACGGCAUUGGAAACUGACAGACUUGAAUGUAGAAGAGGAAAAUGGAAUUCCAAGUGUAGCGGUGGAAUGCGUAGAUAUUUGGAGGAACACCAGUGGCGAAGGCGAUUUUCUGGUCUAACAUUGACGCUGAGGCUCGAAAGCGUGGGGAGCGAACAGGAUUAGAUACCCCAGUAGUCCCAUG
RNAcentral lists this ribosomal RNA (477 nucleotides) under uncultured organism. RNAcentral describes it as "partial 16S ribosomal RNA". It matches the Rfam family "Bacterial small subunit ribosomal RNA", at positions 330 to 799 of the family's 1533-position model. The record is from RNAcentral.